GUGCCAGCCGCCGCGGUACUACCGGCAGCUCAAGUGAUGUCCCAUAUUAUUGGGCCUAAAGCGUCCGUAGCUGGCCGACCAAGUCUCCCGGGAAAUCCACCCGCCCAACGGGUGGGCGUCCGGUAGAAACUGGCCGGCUUGGAACCGGAAGGCUCAGAGAGUACGUCCGGGGUAGGAGUGAAAUCCUGUAAUCCUGGACGGACCACCAAUGGGGAAACCACCUCAGGAGAACGGACCCGACGGUGAGGGACGAAAGCUAGGGUCUCGAACCGGAAUAGAAACCCUGGUAGUCC
This 293-nucleotide ribosomal RNA is filed under the name uncultured bacterium. Its description in RNAcentral is "partial 16S ribosomal RNA". It matches the Rfam family "Archaeal small subunit ribosomal RNA", at positions 455 to 747 of the family's 1478-position model. The record is from RNAcentral.